RNAcentral lists this ribosomal RNA (531 nucleotides) under uncultured bacterium. RNAcentral's name for it is "bacterial SSU rRNA". It matches the Rfam family "Bacterial small subunit ribosomal RNA", at positions 355 to 896 of the family's 1533-position model. The record is from RNAcentral.
UGGGGAAUAUUGCACAAUGGGCGCAAGCCUGAUGCAGCGACGCCGCAUGAGGGAUGACGGCCUUCGGGUUGUAAACCUCUGUUAGCAGGGAAGAAGAGAGAUUGACGGUACCUGCAGAGAAAGCGCCGGCUAACUACGUGCCAGCAGCCGCGGUAAUACGUAGGGCGCGAGCGUUGUCCGGAAUUAUUGGGCGUAAAGAGCUUGUAGGCGGUUUGUCGCGUCUGCUGUGAAAGGCCGGGGCUUAACUCCGUGUAUUGCAGUGGGUACGGGCAGACUAGAGUGCAGUAGGGGAGACUGGAAUUCCUGGUGUAGCGGUGGAAUGCGCAGAUAUCAGGAGGAACACCGAUGGCGAAGGCAGGUCUCUGGGCUGUAACUGACGCUGAGAAGCGAAAGCAUGGGGAGCGAACAGGAUUAGAUACCCUGGUAGUCCACGCCGUAAACGAUGAGUGCUAGGUGUUGGGUCCUUUCCGGGACUCAGUGCCGCAGCUAACGCAUUAAGCACUCCGCCUGGGGAGUACGACCGCAAGGUUG